Molecule: long non-coding RNA, 1302 nt
Organism: Ictalurus punctatus (channel catfish)
Lineage: Eukaryota; Metazoa; Chordata; Actinopteri; Siluriformes; Ictaluridae
Source: Ensembl
GCUGUUUGGCAAGCUCCAGACGCGACUUUCAUCUGGCAAGUAGCUUGUUGCCAUGGAGGCUGUGCUUUUACAGAUUUUCAGAGAUAUGAUGACCCUGAAAUGCAAUCAUCAUCCAUAAUCCUCCAACUUUGAUUAAUCAAGCAUUUUCUUGCCUUUCUCCCAUCUCUCCUUCCUUUUGAAGACCUAUCCAGCUGUUUUAUAAUGAUAAUUAUUUGUCAAUUAUCAAUUUUAUUGUAUACAAGUCACCUGAUUUACCAUUAUUAAGCGUGUUUUGUCUCUCUGAUCUUUCUCAUGUUCCUUAUGUUUAUAUUCCAAUCAGUAGUAAUUCAGGUAGUGUUGAGUACAAUGCUUUUUUUUGUUCCCUUAUGACAAAAAUGAAGAAUACAAAGACAUUUAUUUUCUACCAACAGGACAUUUUAUAGUGUGUUAGGGUUUCACUGGUGUUCCUUCAGUACCAAAAGUAGUAAAAUAAUUCAUUGUUGGAUUUGAAUAGUAACAAAUGUAUUAUUUUCGUUGAAAAGUUCAUAUUGAAUGUGAUAUAAGUAGUCGCUGAUAAAGUGUACGUCCAAACCUUGUCUUUGCCUCCAGCCUUUUGUAGUCUUCUCUGAAUAGCUUUAGUAUCCUCACAGUUGUGGCGUUCGCCCCCUGUAGCCUACCUCCCACACAUCUUUCCUGACAUGUCUGCUUUAACUUUACCGAUCUACUUGGUCAAUCUUCGCCCAUUCUUUCUAACAUAUCUGUUGCAACUCUGCCAGAUAACUCCUUCAAACCAGGUCUAGAGAGGGUCAUUUAAUGAUUAAUUCCUGAAGUGAUCAUUUUGUAUAAAAUAAAAAAAACACUUUCCCAUGCAUUCACCAAAGAUGAGCCUUCUCUGGAACUAUGACUAUGAUAUAUAAAAAAAAAUAAAAAAUAAAAAAAGGAUUUAUAAUUAUAACUUAGCUGUAAUAUAAGCUAGAUGUUUGUGAGAUGCAUUUUUUAUUUAAAGCAAUAACACGAGGUAUUGAGAUCACUGUUUAUCUUUACAGUAUAUUUGUAAGUGAUCUAUUCUGGAAAAUGUUGUGUGCUUAAAAGGCUGAUAAAAAAACAAUGGUUAACCUUGAAAUCUGUAAAUUAGAUGUCUUUUUCUGUUUGUUCAGUGUGUUGAUCGUGUGAACAUUAUUAUUCUGUGUUCUUGAUUUAUUGUUGUUUUGACACAAAGUAACAUAUUACAGAACCUUAAGUUGAAGCCGGCCAAAAAAUCCUCAAAGAUUAAAAGAUUUGAAUUAUUAUCUUCUUUCUUGGAAUCCUAUUAACUUGUAGCAG